This 565-nucleotide unclassified non-coding RNA is filed under the name Hevea brasiliensis (rubber tree). Lineage: Eukaryota; Viridiplantae; Streptophyta; Magnoliopsida; Malpighiales; Euphorbiaceae. The record is from RNAcentral.
GAGAACCACAGAUUUCCAUAGGUGCUUUGUGAGAGUCGCUGUCAGACAAACUUUCAGCCGGGUCCAAUAUCACGCGAUCAAUGUGAUAGCCACAGAUGUGAAAUGCUGGUCCUGACACAGAAGGAAUUGAAACUGCACGAGAAAUAGCUCCAACUACAGAAAUAUUCUUUUUCUGGUUUGCUACGUGCAAAUUCGCCUGUGCGGCAGCUAAGGUUCCAGGCCGGACAAGCACAUUCAGGUCAGUUGCUCUUGCAAAUGGUACUGAAUAGAAGCACUUUGAAUUGCCAAACAACAAUCUCCCUUGGGCAACCAAAAUCUCAACCGAAUCCUGGAGCCCACUUUCUUUCCCAGAUAUGGAUUUCUGGAGUCCCUGUCUAGCAGCCCGGCUUAAUCUAAAAAGAUAGUUACUCGGCAUAUCGGCUUAUUAACCACAGCUGAUUGGCUUGCACCUCUUUAUAGGAAAAAACACAACAACCACUACUAUACACAAAAACUAUCAUAACGCUCAGUACAUUUAAUAUCAAGCAUCAACUCAUGCACUACCCUCCUUCUCCAAUAUAACUUU